GAGGAGGUGGGUUGAAGGCGGAGCAGUGGUCAUUGACUGUGGAAUCAACCACAUACCAGAUGAGACGAAGGCGAGCGGUAAACGAGUCGUCGGAGACGUCCACUACGCGUCAGCCAAUCAAAGAGCAGGAUUCAUCACACCUGUUCCAGGGGGGGUGGGGCCAAUGACAGUGGCGAUGCUCAUGGAGAACACGGUGCAGAGCGCUCAGCGGUUCCUCCUGAAGAACCAGCCGAGGAGGUGAACCUGCAGAAAACACUGGAAGAGAUCAAUAAAGUGUCAUUUUAUCUUCAGUCUGAUCCAAACCCACCAAGAGAAAGAACAUUCACCGUUCACAGACGCAGAAAAAGAAACAACAAGAGGAUUAUAUUCAACAUGUUACCUGUCAGUCUGAGCUCAGGGUUCACUCUCUUUAUUCUUUGACCUUUAAACUGGACUGCAGCUGUUUGUUCAGGGGUCAGAGGUUGUUGCCGUGGAAACAGAGAUGUAGCAGCUGUUUCCUGCUGGGGGGUGAAGUCAACAUGAAGCGUCCAAAUAUCUGAUCAAUGUAUUGAUUAUUGACAAAAACCUGUUUAAUGAGUUUUUCAUUUGUUGCACAAAUCAUUGAUACAGAAUAAAUAAUAACAAUAAUAAUGUAAACAAUAACAAUAAUAAUGUAAAUAAUAACAAUAAUAAUGUAAAUAAUAUUAAUAAUAUAAUUGAACUUUUAGAUUUCUCUUCGUCUGUCUGUUCUUCUGCAACAUGUGAA
Molecule: long non-coding RNA, 745 nt
Organism: Morone saxatilis (striped sea-bass)
Lineage: Eukaryota; Metazoa; Chordata; Actinopteri; Moronidae
Exons: 4
Source: RefSeq, a predicted model, not a curated record